RNAcentral lists this transfer RNA (77 nucleotides) under Oscillospiraceae bacterium. RNAcentral describes it as "tRNA-Ile". It matches the Rfam family "tRNA". From Rfam's summary of the family: Transfer RNA (tRNA) molecules are approximately 80 nucleotides in length. Their secondary structure includes four short double-helical elements and three loops (D, anti-codon, and T loops). Lineage: Bacteria; Bacillati; Bacillota; Clostridia; Eubacteriales; Oscillospiraceae. The record is from RNAcentral.
GGUCCCUUAGCUCAGUUGGUCAGAGCCCCCGACUCAUAAUCGGGUUGUCCUGGGUUCAAGUCCCUGAGGGACCACCA